AGUGAACGCUGGCGGUAGGCCUAACACAUGCCAGUCGAACGGCAGCACAGUAAGAGCUUGCUCUUACGGGUGGCGAGUGGCGGACGGGUGAGGAAUACAUCGGAAUCUACUUUUUCGUGGGGGAUAACGUAGGGAAACUUACGCUAAUACCGCAUACGACCUACGGGUGAAAGCAAGGGAUCUUCGGACCUUGCGCGAUUGAAUGAGCCGAUGUCGGAUUAGCUAGUUGGCGGGGUAAAGGCCCACCAAGGCGACGAUCCGUAGCUGGUCUGAGAGGAUGAUCAGCCACAUGGGAACGGAGACACGGUCCAGACUCCUACGGGAGGCAGCAGUGGGGAAUAUGGGACAAUGGGCGCAAGCCUGAUCCAGCCAGACCGCGUGGGUGAAGAAGGCCUUCGGGUUGUAAAGCCCUUUUGUUGGGAAAGAAAAGCAGCAGGUUAAUACCCCGCUGUUCUGACGGUACCCAAAGAAUAAGCACCGGCUAACUUCGUG
Molecule: ribosomal RNA, 492 nt
Filed under: uncultured bacterium
Lineage: Bacteria
Description: partial 16S ribosomal RNA
Rfam family: Bacterial small subunit ribosomal RNA
Source: RNAcentral